Molecule: transfer RNA, 83 nt
Filed under: Schistocephalus solidus
Lineage: Eukaryota; Metazoa; Platyhelminthes; Cestoda; Diphyllobothriidea; Diphyllobothriidae
Rfam family: tRNA
About the family: Transfer RNA (tRNA) molecules are approximately 80 nucleotides in length. Their secondary structure includes four short double-helical elements and three loops (D, anti-codon, and T loops).
Source: Rfam by way of RNAcentral
GGCCUCGUAGCUCAGUUGGCUAGAGCGUUGGUUGUACUGAAGUCUUUCUCUUGUUGGCGUGGGUUCAGAUCCCACCGACACCG